GUUGCAUGGUACCAUCCUUCUUCUUCACAAAUAGUACUGGAGCUCCCCAUGGUGAUACACUUGGUCUGAUGAAAUCCUUAUCCAAUAAUUCAUGCAAUUGUUUCUUGAGUUCCUCUAAUUUGGCUUACACCAUUCGAUAUGGAGCCUUAGAGAUAGGACUCAUACUAGGAAUUAAAUCAAUAAAGAACUCGAUCUCCUAGUUUGCAGGUAAACCU
Molecule: long non-coding RNA, 215 nt
Filed under: Carica papaya (papaya)
Lineage: Eukaryota; Viridiplantae; Streptophyta; Magnoliopsida; Brassicales; Caricaceae
Description: long non-coding RNA (CPAP_LNC007961)
Source: RNAcentral